GAUUGGACAGCAAUAGAAUUUGACCGCAGGGCUAAGCAGAGCAACAGCAAAGACUGCAAUGCUUGGUGGGAGACUGGACAUGAUAGUGCAGCAGGGAAGCCUGAAAAGAUUCUCCUUGAAGACUCCCAGGACCACCUGAGAGCACUUUCAAAGAGAUAUGGCUGCAAGGAAGCAGGACAACUCUGAUUGAUCGUGGGGCUGGAGCGGAGCUAUGUGGAGAAGGACUCUGAGACUCCAUAGGAAUGCAUAACAUGUGUGGGAGGAUGGUUGUGACUCUUAUGUUACAUCAGUACUGUUUUCAGAAUUUUCCUAUAGCCUGAGUCAUCAUGGAUAUGAGUCCUUGGUGGACCAGUGGAUGAAUUAUUUUGAUGUUGAGAAACUGGCUUACAUAAGCUUGGCUUCUACUAAACGCUCGACAUGUAUCUGCUGAAUUGAACUGACUUCAUCUUUUAUACCUUCACACGUUACCUAUGACGUACUAAGCAAGACACCAAAGUCCUCUUGCCUGGAGAACAUGCAUGGUGUUACUCAGAAAGUGUCAUGACACAAUAUAAUAAAAGCACUUCUUAUUUUGAAUUUCAAGCAGAAA
Long non-coding RNA from Suricata suricatta (meerkat), 589 nucleotides. RefSeq lists it as uncharacterized. The record is from RefSeq and is a predicted model, not a curated record. Lineage: Eukaryota; Metazoa; Chordata; Mammalia; Carnivora; Herpestidae. The transcript is spliced from 3 exons.